RNAcentral lists this ribosomal RNA (503 nucleotides) under uncultured bacterium. Its description in RNAcentral is "partial 16S ribosomal RNA". It matches the Rfam family "Bacterial small subunit ribosomal RNA", at positions 30 to 523 of the family's 1533-position model. The record is from RNAcentral.
AUUGAACGCUGGCGGCAGGCUUAACACAUGCAAGUCGAGCGGAGUGAUGGUGCUUGCACUAUCACUUAGCGGCGGACGGGUGAGUAAUGCUUAGGAAUCUGCCUAUUAGUGGGGGACAACAUCUCGAAAGGGAUGCUAAUACCGCAUACGUCCUACGGGAGAAAGCAGGGGAUCACUUUUGACCUUGCGCUAAUAUCUGAGCCUAAGUCGGAUUAGCUAGUUGGUGGGGUAAAGGCCUACCAAGGCGACGAUCUGUAGCGGGUCUGAGAGGCUGAUCGGCCACACUGGGACUGAGACACGGCCCAGACUCCUACGGGAGGCAGCAGUGGGGAAUAUUGGACAAUGGGGGGAACCCUGAUCCAGCCAUGCCGCGUGUGUGAAGAAGGCCUUAUGGUUGUAAAGCACUUUAAGCGAGGAGGAGGCUCUUUUGGUUAAUACCCAAGAUGAGUGGACGUUACUCGCAGAAUAAGCACCGGCUAACUCUGUGCCAGCCGCCGCAGUAA